AAUGCGUUUUGAGAUGGUCCUGCGGCCUAUCAGCUAGUUGGUGGGGUAAUAGCCCACCAAGGCUAUGACGGGUAUCCGGCCUGAAAGGGUGAACGGACACACUGGAACUGAGACACGGUCCAGACUCCUACGGGAGGCAGCAGUGGGGAAUUUUGGACAAUGGGGGAAACCCUGAUCCAGCGACGCCGCGUGGAGGACGAAGGCCUUCGGGUUGUAAACUCCUUUAGAGGGGAAGAAAAAAAUGACGGUACCCUCAGAAAAAGCCACGGCUAACUACGUGCCAGCAGCCGCGGUAAUACGUAGGUGGCGAGCGUUACUCGGAAUUACUAGGCGUAAAGCGUAUGUAGGCGGUUGGAUAAGUCUUUAGUGAAAUUUCUCGGCUUAACCGGGAAAGGUCUGAGGAUACUGUUCGGCUUGAGUGUGGUAGGGGGAGACGGAAUUCCUGGUGUAGCGGUGAAAUGCGUAGAUAUCAGGAGGAACACCGAUGGCGAAAGCAGUCUCCUGGACCAAUACUGACGCUAAUGUACGAAAGCUAGGGUAGCAAACAGGAUUAGAUACCCUGGUAGUCCUAGCUGUAAACGAUGUUCACUAGAUGUGGGAGGUAUCGACCCCUUCCGCGUCGACGCUAACGCAUUAAGUGAACCGCCUGGGGAGUACGGCCGCAAGGUUGAAACUCAAAGGAAUUGACGGGGGCCCGCACAAGCGGUGGAGUAUGUGGUUUAAUUCGACGCAACGCGAAAAACCUUACCUGGGCUUGAACUGCUAAUGGUAAAAACCGGAAACGGCAAUGACCCGCAAGGGAGUUAGCAGAGGUGCUGCAUGGCUGUCGUCAGCUCGUGUCGUGAGAUGUUGGGUUAAGUCCCGCAACGAGCGCAACCCUUAUCCCAUGUUACCUGUAGCAAUACAGGGUCUCUGAGGAAACUGCCAUCGAUAAGAUGGAGGAAGGUGGGGACGACGUCAAGUCAUCAUGGCCUUUAUGUCCAGGGCUACACACGUACUACAAUGGUCGGUACAGAGGGAAGCGAUAUCGCAAGGUGGAGCAAAUCCCAAAAAGCCGGCCUCAGUUCAGAUUGUGGGCUGCAAUUCGCCCACAUGAAGUAGGAAUC
RNAcentral lists this ribosomal RNA (1106 nucleotides) under uncultured Termite group 1 bacterium. RNAcentral describes it as "bacterial SSU rRNA". It matches the Rfam family "Bacterial small subunit ribosomal RNA", at positions 212 to 1333 of the family's 1533-position model. Lineage: Bacteria; Pseudomonadati; Elusimicrobiota. The record is from RNAcentral.